Myzus persicae (green peach aphid) is the source of this 1799-nucleotide RNA transcript. RefSeq lists it as uncharacterized. The transcript is spliced from 5 exons. The record is from RefSeq and is a predicted model, not a curated record. NCBI's taxonomy places the organism in Eukaryota, Metazoa, Arthropoda, Insecta, Hemiptera, Aphididae.
UUAUACACUAUAUUACAAUAUUGCAUAUAUGCCCCCUACGCCGUUUUACACUAUUGUAAAUUGAAAUAUUUAUUACUUGAGUUCGUAUUAUUCGUAUCGUGUUUGCUGUUCCGAUAGAUAUUAGAUACUAGAUAGUUAAUAAUUGUAUUGCACUAUUGCAUCAACCGUAUACUCUUGUUUUCAUUGUUUAAAUUGUUUUAAAUUGUAAUAUAAUGAGUGAUUGUGAUUCUUCAACCGAAGUCGAUCACGUAGCAGAUUUAGAAGAACCAAUUUUACCAUGGCAAAAUUAUCAAAAAUAUUUCUAAGUAUUAUGAAAUAUGAUUCAUUGAGGUAAAUAUUUUUUACCAGAAGCAGAAAGGGAAGUUCUUAAGUUGUGUCGAUACAAAGUGUGACAAGGUAGAUUCACGUUCAAACUCUAAUAUAUGAAAACAUUUAAGCGUAAGUAAAAUGUUAAUUUCAUACUUGCCUAUGACAGUUGACCCAUCUAAUAUCUUGUUUGUAAAAUUCAUUUUAAAUACCACACAAACACCUAAUAUAUUACAAAAAUACAUCAAUAACAGUGGCGCACAGCUUUUUAAAAGUCAAAUUUCAAGUGCUUAAGAUGUAUCAUAGAUCUCAUUAUUCUAUAUUAUGUAUUUUCAUGGGCCCCCAUACGAGUCAUCUCAGAGCCCAGAGCGGCCCAGUAUUCUAGUGUAUAUGAAAUAAAAUAAAAUAAAUAACCCCCUGUCCCCUCAAAAAUAAAUCCCAGUUGCGCCACUGAUCAAAAAAUGUAAAUUAUUUAUCAAAACUUAUAAUGUUAAGUAAAAGGUUAUAUUAUUUCAUUUUUUAUACAGAUACAACAGUCAACUCUAUUAGAGAAAAUUGAUCACAUUGAUAAUGCAGCGAACAAAAACACUUUAAAGAGAUGCAAUGAUGGAUCAUUGAAUCAUAAUGCUGGUAGUUCUUUAGAACAACCAGUUUUAGAAGAUUUUUUGAAGAACAAAACAUGAACUAGUCAAAUUGCAACAUUAACAAAAGUAGUUGAUAUUUACAUGACUGCAUGACUAUAUACUGAUACAUUGAUAGUGAACGAUACAGUUGUUGAUGAUUUAGAAGGAAUUGACGCAAUCAACUUGAACAUUCUAAAUAAUGAAGACCAUGAUUUGCCAUAUGCAUUACCAAAACACCAUCAAUGUUGUGCACACACAAUAAAUUUAAUAGCAACAAUGGACUCUAAAAAGCUAUCUUGCAUACAAAAAAACAGUCAUAAAGCACUUUUGCCAAGUCUACCGCUUUGUGGAAUCAACAAGGUUACUCAACCAAGUCAGCUGAUUUAUUUAAACAAAAUCUUGGUGUUUAUUUAAUUACACUUAACGAGACACGUUGGAAUUCACUGUAUGAUGCAGUGGUGCUGCUUAAUAAAUAAAUUAAAAACAAUGAACUUAAGUUUAGAAUAAUAAUGGACAAAUUAGCUAUUGACAGAUUUAAUAGAAGUGAUAUUUAUUUCAUUUGUCAAUGUCAAACAAUUAUGGGGCCAAUUUCAAUAAGCUUGGAUUUACUCCAGGGUGAUACUAACAUGUACUAAUUGUACUUAGGUCAUCUUCUACCUACAAUUAAAGUAUUAAUUUAUAAAUAUGAAUUACUGACAAGUGCACAAACAGUUUCUAAUUAUUUGAAACCUCUGGUGACUGCUAUACUUAAUGGUAUGAAAACAAGGUUUGCCAAUUAUUUGAUAGACAAAUUUUUAAUUACUGCUGCAGUCUGCCACCCACUAUUUAAAAAAGCAUGGAUUACAAAUGAUAUAAAAAAGCAAUUGGCCU